RNAcentral lists this ribosomal RNA (377 nucleotides) under uncultured bacterium. RNAcentral describes it as "bacterial SSU rRNA". It matches the Rfam family "Bacterial small subunit ribosomal RNA", at positions 521 to 896 of the family's 1533-position model. The record is from RNAcentral.
UAAUACGUAGGAGGCGAGCGUUGUCCGGAAUUACUGGGCGUAAAGCGCGCGUAGGCGGUCUUUUGCGUAGGCGGUGAAAGCCCCAGGCUCACCUUGGGGAGGUCCGUCUAAACGGGGAGACUAGAGGGCGGUAGGGGUUGGCGGAACGCCCGGAGUAGCGGUGAAAUGCGUUGAGAUCGGGCAGAACACCAGUGGCGAAGGCGGCCGACUGGGCCGUCCCUGACGCUGAGGCGCGAAAGCCAGGGGAGCGAACGGAAUUAGAUACUCCGGUAGUCCUGGCCCUAAACGAUGGCAACUAGGUGUGGGGGGUAUCGACCCCUUCCGUGCCGUAGCACACGCGAUAAGUUGCCCGCCUGGGGAGUACGGCCGCAAGGCUA